GAGAGCCAUGCGAGAAACAUGGCCGUCGAAAGCCCAAGGUUUCCUGGGGAAGGUUCAUCCACCCAGGGUAAGUCGGGACCUAAGCCAAGGACGGAAGUCGUAGGCGAUGGACAACAGGUUUAUAUUCCUGUACUGCCGAAGAAUGAAGCAGUGACACAGAAGGAUAGUCUGAGCAGGGUAAUGGUCAUCCCUGUCCAAGCACUGAGGCUGUGAUGUAGUGAAGUACGCAUCACGUAAGGCUGGGGUGUUAUGGGGAGCGAAAUUUCAGUAGCGAAGCAGAUGAUUUCACGCUGGCGAGAAAAGCUGCUAGUAUAUCGUAAGGCACCCGUACCAGAAACCGACGCAGGUGGGCGAGGAGAGAAUCCUGA
Molecule: ribosomal RNA, 368 nt
Filed under: Pseudopedinella elastica
Lineage: Eukaryota; Dictyochophyceae; Pedinellales
Description: partial Bacterial large subunit ribosomal RNA
Rfam family: Bacterial large subunit ribosomal RNA
Source: RNAcentral